AAGUCCCUAAUCAAAUGGUAAAAUCAAAAGAACAAAACAACUGUCAUACUCGUGAGUUGGUUCAGGCAUUUUCUUGAGUAGAAAAUGAUGGAUUUAACCUGGUAUUGUAACUAGCUUAACCUCUCACUUGUAUGAUAUAUUCUAACAUAAUAAAUCAAAAUGAAACUAUUAGUAUUGUAAAAACGAAUCAAAAUAUUUUACAGCAAC
Molecule: long non-coding RNA, 207 nt
Filed under: Mytilus galloprovincialis (Mediterranean mussel)
Lineage: Eukaryota; Metazoa; Mollusca; Bivalvia; Mytilida; Mytilidae
Source: RNAcentral